GCUUACGACCACACCGGUCUGAGUACACCUGAUCUCGUCUGAUCUCGGAAGCUAAGCAGGGUCGUGCCUGGUUAGUACUUGGAUGGGAGACCGCCUGGGAAUACCAGGUGCUGUAAGCU
Molecule: ribosomal RNA, 119 nt
Organism: Oncorhynchus kisutch (coho salmon)
Lineage: Eukaryota; Metazoa; Chordata; Actinopteri; Salmoniformes; Salmonidae
Source: Ensembl